This is a long non-coding RNA of Cyprinus carpio (common carp), 279 nucleotides long. RefSeq lists it as uncharacterized. The record is from RefSeq and is a predicted model, not a curated record. The transcript is spliced from 3 exons. Lineage: Eukaryota; Metazoa; Chordata; Actinopteri; Cypriniformes; Cyprinidae.
CAUGAAGAUAGUGUUUAACUCCACCACUAAUCUGACCGACCCGACAGUAACAGACAACAUGCUUAAAGAGUUAAAGUCAGCGCUGGCUCUGAGAGGAAUCCCUAAUGUGACGCUGAGCUGGUCUCAAAACCUUGAAGAAGCAGUGAUCCAUAAUCUGCACAAAAACGAUGCCUGCUGAAGCAGAUGUCAGACUCUGGGACUUCUCUGAGGAGUAACAGCCAUCAUGAGUUUAAUUUCAUUAUAUUAUAUUCAUUAUAUCCAUCUCACAGUCACUGCAAA